GACGAACGCUGGCGGCGUGCCUAAUACAUGCAAGUAGAACGCUGAAGGAGGAUCUUGCUCUUCUGGAUGAGUUGCGAACGGGUGAGUAACGCGUAGGUAACCUGCCUGGUAGCGGGGGAUAACUAUUGGAAACGAUAGCUAAUACCGCAUAAGAGUAGAUGUUGCAUGACAUUUGCUUAAAAGGUGCAAUUGCAUCACUACCAGAUGGACCUGCGUUGUAUUAGCUAGUUGGUGGGGUAACGGCUCACCAAGGCGACGAUACAUAGCCGACCUGAGAGGGUGAUCGGCCACAAUGGGACUGAGACACGGCCCAGACUCCUACGGGAGGCAGCAGUAGGGAAUCUUCGGCAAUGGACGGAAGUCUGACCGAGCAACGCCGCGUGAGUGAAGAAGGGUUUCGGAUCGUAAAGCUCUGUUGUAAGAGAAGAACGAGUGUGAGAGUGGAAAGUUCACACUGUGACGGUAUCUGAACAGAAAGGGACGGCUAACUACGUG
RNAcentral lists this ribosomal RNA (495 nucleotides) under uncultured bacterium. RNAcentral's name for it is "partial 16S ribosomal RNA". It matches the Rfam family "Bacterial small subunit ribosomal RNA", at positions 28 to 507 of the family's 1533-position model. The record is from RNAcentral.